UACAGAGGGGGGCAAGCGUUGUUCGGAAUUACUGGGCGUAAAGGGCGCGUAGGCGGCCAGCACAAGUCAGUUGUGAAAUCUCCGAGCUUAACUCGGGAACGGUCAACUGAUACUGUGCGGCUAGAGUGCGGAAGGGCAACUGGAAUUCUUGGUGUAGCGGUGAAAUGCGUAGAUAUCAAGAGGGAACACCUGCGGCGAAGGCGGGUGCUGGGCCGACACUGA
RNAcentral lists this ribosomal RNA (222 nucleotides) under uncultured bacterium. Its description in RNAcentral is "partial 16S ribosomal RNA". It matches the Rfam family "Bacterial small subunit ribosomal RNA", at positions 524 to 743 of the family's 1533-position model. The record is from RNAcentral.